This 551-nucleotide ribosomal RNA is filed under the name uncultured fungus. RNAcentral's name for it is "SSU rRNA". It matches the Rfam family "Eukaryotic small subunit ribosomal RNA", at positions 20 to 575 of the family's 1831-position model. Lineage: Eukaryota; Fungi. The record is from RNAcentral.
GUAGUCAUAUGCUUGUCUCAAAGAUUAAGCCAUGCAUGUCUAAGUAUAAGCAAUUAUACCGCGAAACUGCGAAUGGCCCAUUAUAUAAGUUAUCGUUUAUUUGAUAGUACCUUACUACUUGGAUAACCGUGGUAAUUCUAGAGCUAAUACAUGCUAAAAAUCCCGACUUCGGAAGGGAUGUAUUUAUUAGAUUAAAAACCAAUGCCCUUCGGGGCUCACUGGUGAUUCAUGAUAACUCCUCGAAUCGCAUGGCCUUGUGCCGGCGAUGGUUCAUUCAAAUUUCUUCCCUAUCAACUUUCGAUGUUUGGGUAUUGGCCAAACAUGGUUGCAACGGGUAACGGAGGGUUAGGGCUCGACCCCGGAGAAGGAGCCUGAGAAACGGCUACUACAUCCAAGGAAGGCAGCAGGCGCGCAAAUUACCCAAUCCCGACACGGGGAGGUAGUGACAAUAAAUACUGAUACAGGGCUCUUUUGGGUCUUGUAAUUGGAAUGAGUACAAUUUAAAUCCCUUAACGAGGAACAAUUGGAGGGCAAGUCUGGUGCCAGCAGCC